CCGGGCCUGGCCGCUGUCUGCGUGAGGUGUUGACGAGAGCGGGAGACUGCUCGGCUCCAACAGACUGAACUCUGUCUUUACUGUCUUUCAGAUGGCAGCAGUGACAAUGGGCUUUGGAGAUCCUCUCUCACCUUUGCAAUCGGUCAAUAGAAAUGCUCACUUCUUCCGGGGCUCAUGUCCUUAGUCAGGGCUAGAGGGGGGCAGUGCAGCCCACUGCUGGGGACCUUGCUCCCCUGGCCGGCCCUGCCCGUCAGCUCUGGACGAGCACAGCAGAGCGCCAGGCAUGGCGGGGCCAGUGGUGUGGGCACCCACCCCGGGACCGCCCCUGGGGAGGCCUCCAUCUGCUCUGAGGGCCCGCCUUAAAACUAACCGGCCAGGUAACUGCAGAGGGCAGCCGCGGCAGCCAGCCAGGGAGGGUAGCUGCCGGUGCCAGGCUCGUCUGUGCCCUGCUGCCCCACGCAGGGUGCACCACGGGCCACCAGGUCGCCAGUCUCCAGGCUGCCUAGGCUCUUGGGUUGGGCUGAAGACCCUGAGGAGAGAGGGGUCCUGACUUGUGGCCCCAUCAGACCCUGGAGGGAGGACGGAGGGGAGGUGGGGGGUGGGGGGAUGAGUGAGUGAGAAAGGGAAGGGCGAAGAUUUGGGCCAUGGGCCUGGGCUGUCAGCAAGGUCUAGAGGCCAAGGAGGAGGCAGAGGCCAUAGCUGCGGGGCUGCAGCAAGCAGAGUCUUUUCCUGCCCCACAGGCAGUCUGAGGCGGCCAGACACCAUCCUGGGGAGGAUCCUGAGGGGGAGAUAUGGCCCUUUCUCUGGGGGCCAUUUGGAGGACUUGGGCCAAUCCUGAGCGAGCUUCCCUCAUUGGGGAGACACUGUGUGUCAGAAAGGCAGCUGUCGACCCUCUGAAGACACCUGGGCUAUGGGGGUUGUGGUCAGGGAGAAAGCUGUUUGCCCACCUGUAGAUGGGGAGUCCCACCUUGAAGGGGAGGCAUGGCCCUUUCUUGGGGAACAUAGGCCUGAGGGACAGAUGGGGCUUCAUCUUGAUGUAAGCGGAAGCCUGGGGCCUAUUUGUUAGGGAACCCAGUUUGAGGAGGGAAGAGUCAAGUUUUCAGAGACUUGCUAGUUUGAGGGAAGGUCGUCCCAACCAUGGGGAGUCUGUGUUGGGCAGCUAGACUCUAAGGGAGGGGCCAGGCCUGUGCCAGGCUUUUUGACACAGAUAGGAGUAAACUGGUCUCUGCUGGGAACCUUCACAAGGGCCAGGGGAGCCCUUGUUCGUGUUCAGGCAGGGUCCUGGGGCGUGUCUUCCUGUGGCCCACAGUGCUUGGCUCUGGAACUCCCUGCCUGGCACAGCUGUGAGGUGGCAGGGGAGAGAUCCCCAUUCUUGAGGGUUCAGGGAGGUUCCUCAACGCAGUGGCCCAGCCCACAACCAAGGCUUGCCAGUUUCCCAGCUCCAGGGAGCCCCAAGGUUUCUCAGUUGGGUUCUCCGCUGCCUCAUGACACUUCUGGGGACCAGGCCAGUGGCUCUUGCCUGUGCUCUUGUGGCUCCAGGCGUAGGCUCUAGCAGCUCUUUUUAGAGGGGAGCGGGGCGUUGGGAUGGGAAGAGUAUAGGUCACUGAGCCCCUGCCUGAGUUGGUCCCGCACGAGCGACUAUUCCUCGUUCUCUCCAGGGAGCCCCCGUCUGGGCUCCUGAACUCCCCUGGGGUUUCUUCUGGGCAGUGGCUGCCCCGUCUUCUGUCACCCUCUCUUCUGGCCUCCAUGCCAGCCAGUCCCUCCAGCUUGGAUGACUCCUCCUUCCCUUUUCUGUUGCAGUACUUGGCUGGGAAGGUGGGAGGAUCUCCCAGCCCGGCCCGGGGUACCUGACCCUGGGACUGGAGGGUGAGCGUGGUGGGAGGGCGCAGAGCCCUGCCUCCUGGCCACCAGUCAGUUUUGCAGCUGCAGUCUGCCUGGGACUGGGCGGGCUGGGCUCGUCUGUGUACUGCUGUUGGGCCUGGCCUUCUUCAGGGUGGGGUCCUGCUGACCCCUGUGCCCUGACUUUAGGGGCCAAGCCUGCAUCUUGCUGCUGGGUGGGGAUCACUCCCCACCGCAGAGUUCAUGGGGCAGGUGGGUGGGCCAGGAGGGGAGAGGGCUGCUAAGCCCCUUGCCUGCCUCCCUGACAAGCCAGUGGCGCUCUCUCCUUCUGUUCUGCUAUAGAUGGCAGCUCAGCGGCAGCGGGCACUGGCCAUCAUGUGCCGGGUCUACGUGGGCUCCAUCUACUAUGAGCUAGGGGAGGACACCAUUCGCCAGGCCUUUGCCCCUUUUGGCCCCAUCAAAAGCAUUGACAUGUCCUGGGAUUCUGUCACUAUGAAGCACAAGGUGAGCAGACUAGGUCUACCCCAGUUGCCUUGGCCUACCCUCCUUGGGGUUCUUCCAAGCCUGAUAGGGUUUCCUGUGUCUAGGGCUUUGCCUUUGUGGAAUAUGAAGUCCCAGAAGCUGCACAGCUGGCCUUGGAGCAGAUGAACUCAGUGAUGCUGGGAGGCAGGAACAUCAAGGUGAGGGUGUGGGUGCAGGUGUUGGGCUUUUGGGCCUUGAGAAUGUUCUGUCUAGUCUCCCAGAUGUGUCGAGCAACCUCACAGAAGCCUGCUGUGACUAAGUCUGACAGGUGCUCUCGGUCCCUUCCCCUUCCCCAGGUGGGUAGGCCCAGCAACAUAGGGCAGGCCCAGCCCAUCAUCGACCAGCUGGCUGAGGAGGCACGGGCCUUCAACCGUAUCUACGUGGCCUCCGUGCACCAGGACCUCUCGGAUGAUGACAUCAAGAGUGUGUUUGAGGCCUUUGGCAAGAUCAAGUCUUGCACACUAGCCCGGGACCCCACAACUGGCAAGCACAAGGGCUACGGCUUCAUUGGUGAGCUGGGGGUGCUGAGGAGAGGUGGGGGCCCACCUGGUGCUGGGACUGGCCCUCCUCACUGCUGCUCCUGCCCUGCAGAGUACGAGAAGGCCCAGUCGUCCCAGGAUGCUGUGUCCUCCAUGAACCUCUUUGAUCUGGGUGGCCAGUACUUGCGGGUGGGCAAGGCUGUCACACCCCCCAUGCCCCUGCUAACACCUGCCACCCCAGGAGGCCUUCCGCCUGCUGCCGCUGUGGCCGCAGCUGCAGCCACAGCCAAGAUCACAGCUCAGGUGAGGGGGUGGACAGGUGCUCUAGUCAUUUGGGAGCCAGCUCUUGAUAUGGUCUUGGGUGGAGGUAGCCAGACUGGGGACUGAGUGUGGUUGCCUUCUGGGUUGCAGGAAGCAGUGGCUGGAGCAGCUGUGUUGGGUACCUUGGCAACACCUGGACUGGUGUCCCCAGCACUGACCUUGGCUCAACCCCUAGGGGCUCUGCCCCAGGCUGUCAUGGCUGCCCAAGCUCCUGGAGUCAUCACAGGUGAGUCUGAGUAGGCCAAGGCUCUCCAGGCAUUCCUGCCCCUCAUUUCUAGGCUCUCUGCCUUCACCUGCCCAGGGUGGGCUGGCCAUGGCGACCAGCUCUGCUUCCUGCUAAGGUGGGGGUUGUGGGGAUAGCUGCUGGACCUGGUUGGUUUUGCUGCAGGUGUGACCCCGGCCCGUCCUCCCAUUCCGGUCACCAUCCCCUCUGUGGGGGUGGUGAACCCCAUCCUGGCUAGCCCCCCAACACUGGGUCUCCUGGAGCCCAAGAAGGAGAAGGAAGAGGAGGAGCUGUUUCCUGAGUCUGAACGGCCAGAGAUGCUAAGUGAGCAGGAGCACAUGAGCAUCUCUGGCAGCAGUGCCCGCCACAUGGUCAUGCAGAAGCUGCUGCGCAAGCAGGAGGUGGGUGAACAGACCCUGGGUCGGGAUGUAGGGGUGGGGAACAUCUAGGCAGGCCACAGUGCUCAGCUGUCUCCUCCCCACAGUCCACAGUGAUGGUUCUCCGCAACAUGGUGGAUCCCAAGGACAUCGAUGAUGACCUGGAAGGAGAGGUGACAGAGGAGUGUGGCAAGUUUGGUGCUGUCAACCGUGUCAUCAUCUACCAAGAGAAGCAGGGUGAAGAGGAG
This 4009-nucleotide long non-coding RNA is filed under the name Marmota monax (woodchuck). The record is from RNAcentral. Lineage: Eukaryota; Metazoa; Chordata; Mammalia; Rodentia; Sciuridae.